GCCUACGGGAGGCAGCAGCCGCGGUAAAACGUAGGACGCAAACGUUAUCCGGAGUUACUGGGCGUAAAGCGCGAGCAGGCGGUUGGAUAAGUUACCUAUGAAAGCUCCCGGCUAAACUGGGAGAGGAUAGGUGAUACUGUUUAACUAGAGUGAGAUAGAGGCAAGUAGAAUUCCGGGUGUAGUGGUGAAAUGCGUAGAUAUCCGGAGGAAUACCAGUGGCGAAGGCGGCUUGCUGGAUCUCAACUGACGCUGAGACGCGAAAGCGUGGGUAGCGAACGGGAUUAGAUACCCCAGUAGUCC
RNAcentral lists this ribosomal RNA (300 nucleotides) under uncultured bacterium. RNAcentral's name for it is "bacterial SSU rRNA". It matches the Rfam family "Bacterial small subunit ribosomal RNA", at positions 499 to 796 of the family's 1533-position model. The record is from RNAcentral.